UACAGAGGGGGCAAGCGUUGUUCGGAAUUACUGGGCGUAAAGGGCGCGUAGGCGGCCUGUUAAGUCGGACGUGAAAUCCCUCGGCUCAACCGGGGAACUGCGUCCGAUACUGGCGGGCUUGAAUUCGGGAGAGGGAUGUGGAAUUCCAGGUGUAGCGGUGAAAUGCGUAGAUAUCUGGAGGGACACCGGUGGCGAAGGCGGCAUCCUGGACCGACAUUGACGCUGAGGCGCGAAAGCCAGGGGAGCAAACGGG
RNAcentral lists this ribosomal RNA (253 nucleotides) under uncultured bacterium. Its description in RNAcentral is "partial 16S ribosomal RNA". It matches the Rfam family "Bacterial small subunit ribosomal RNA", at positions 524 to 776 of the family's 1533-position model. The record is from RNAcentral.